AGAGUUUGAUCCUGGCUCAGGAUGAACGCUGGCGGCGUGCUUAACACAUGCAAGUCGAACGAGAGAAGAUCGGUGCUUGCACUGAUCCGAUCGAGUGGCGGACGGGUGAGUAACGCGUGGGUAACCUGCCUCAUACAGGGGAAUAACAGUUGGAAACGGCUGCUAAAACCGCAUAAGCGCACAGUAUCGCAUGAUACAGUGUGAAAACUCCGGUGGUAUGAGAUGGACCCGCGUCUGAUUAGCUAGUUGGUGAGGUAACGGCCACCAAGGCAACGAUCAGUAGCCGGCCUGAGAGGGUGAACGGCCACGAUUGGGACUGAGACCACGGCCCAAACUCCUACGGGAGGCA
This 349-nucleotide ribosomal RNA is filed under the name uncultured bacterium. RNAcentral describes it as "bacterial SSU rRNA". It matches the Rfam family "Bacterial small subunit ribosomal RNA", at positions 8 to 350 of the family's 1533-position model. The record is from RNAcentral.